GAAAGGAAAGGAAAGGAAAGGAAAGGAAAGGGGAAAGAGGAAAGGAAGGGAAAGGAAAGGGAAAGAGGAAAGUGCUGCUUGGGAGGUGAUCCCCGUAUUCCCUCCCGGGUCAUCGUAACCCGGUUAGAAAUCAACAGCAGAACAGGGAGGGGGCGGUUGGGGAAGACCACUGUGACCGCAAUACCGGCGGGCUGAGGGAAAGCGGCUCCGGGAGGAGGAGGACCUCUGCCUUCGUCAUAUGGGGAGCGCUGGCAUUUACGUAUGAGCUGGUAGUCACCUGCUUCUAUUGUUGGUUUUCUUUAAGAAAGGGAGGAAAAAAAAGCAACCGGUGGAAAGCGGAGACUCUGAGCUGUCCCUCGGAACGAGGAGGGGCUGUACCCGUAGGGCAGCUCCCCAGUGCCGGCCCUGCUUGCCCCUCUGCUGUCCUCGCAGCCCCUCGCUGGGCUCCGCGUUGGGAAAAUGAGAGGCAUAGGGAAUAAAUGCGGGUGAUACGUUCUGAUUGCAUAACAGAUCUCAAGUUCCGCAUGAAAAAAAAAAAAAAAAAAAAAAAGGAAAAAGGAAAAAUCGGGAAUUGUCGCUUUUCUACCUACAGCUGCAUUCGGUCUAUUGAAGGCUUAAGGGGAGUGAAGUUAGGUGAGCAACUGCUGCCCCUCCGAGCAAUGCGGGCGCACACACUGAUAGGAGUCAUCUGUCUGAAAACCCCUCACAAAUAUGGAAAGAUUUCCCCCAGAGUUUAUGAAAUACGUUCGGUGACCUUGAGCACGCAUUCCUGGGUCUGACAUAUUAGAGAAGAUGAAUAUUCAUUCGGCUAAGUGAUAUUUUCAUACAUGGUGCUCGUUACUAUACAGUCAAUAAACAUUUUGAUAACAUUUUGCAGCAGAACUAAGCGCCCUAUUUGUAUGACAGGCAUUAAGGCACCCGAAUUCAAGAUUUCUGGAGAAAAAUUACCCAGUCCUUUCAGUGUAAUUACGGCAUCUUUAAUUAAAAUACAUGGACUAACGCCACUACUCCACCCCACCUCUUUGCUGCAGUUCACUGUUUCUACAAGCUGGCUUGUCUUAUGCUUCCUCUAUUGCAGUGUUAGCAGACUGGCUUUGAUUUCUGUGGGCUUUCAGAGAGGCAGGAUGAGAGUCCGAAUGGCCAGAGAUUACCACAUGUUCUCCUGUGCCACCAAGUUGGGCAGAACACAGGGGUGGACAAAUAGGGACAGUGGCAUCUUCAAGUAUAAUCACAAUAGAUUUUGCCAGAGGAUAUUUGCUCAAAUCAUCUCCAAGGGAUAAUUCCAUCGUGAUCAAAGGGAAAAAAAAAGAAAUGAAAAAGAUCGUUUUACCUCUCCCGUUCCUUUUUGCCUGUCAUAUCUCCCUGCCCCAUCUCUAUUUCACCACAUUUAUCUUGUAGCUUGAGGUCUCUGCUGGGAAUUCUUUGCCAAUAUAAGAAGUACACCAACAAAAUAGUGCUCAGAUUCACAUCUUUCAACUGCUAAACUUUGCUUUUGCCAGCAUACCGUGUUCCAGCCAUCUCCUUUUUCGUCCAAGAAUAAUAAGCUGUGCUGGGUAAUGGUCAGACAUCAGAACAGACUAUCCAUGAUAGGGGCCUUUGCCUACAGUUACAUCAGCCAUCAAGUGUUGCCUCCUUUCACCCCAAGCUGGCAGAGACACAGCAAGGGAAGAGCAGCCUUUGCUUGUGGAAAGGCUGAAGUUCAGUUUAGAUACAGCAAACAGAGUUUUGCCAGCACAGAGCCUUACUGAUUUCGUGCUGCCACUCUUCAACUAUUUGGAGGUCCUACAUGCCAAAAGAAUGCAUGUGAUCUUUUCAUAUAUUUACAAAUGUACUUAGACUCGUGUUACUGAACUGUAUGGAUGGAUAACAAACAGCGAUCAGCAACGCCGUGAUCUGCAAGCCGUGAACCUCUCAAAUAAGUCUUGCUUGGGAAGACUGCCAAAAUGUUCAGCAUUACCUGCACCUGGUCAGAUAAAAAUAUCACCUCUGGGGACAUGCAACUGUUUUCAGGUGCAUGUGGAAGCUUGAAUCUACAAGCCCAGCACACGCAGGUUCCAUCUUUAAUUUUUUCUCAUGCUGGGGGGGAUUGGAGCUCCAGGUGCUAGGGAUAUGUCGCAGGUAUUGCCCCAAAUCACAGGCAGGUUAUCCAAUGCGAUCAAAGAGGCUGAGUGCAUGAGUCAGCUGGAUUUCAGGAUUUGCCGUGUGCUUCAGAAAUACGGUUUUGUUUGUUCUUAGCCUAAAUCUAAUUUUGAAAUGCUGUUUCAAUCUGAGGAUAAGGAGUAAGAGUUGAAAGGGAUGUGCCUGAUGUUUGGCUUGGCUGUUGCCUUCUACCUGCUGCCAGGAUCACAGAGCUGAUGGUAGUCAAGCCAUGGGAAAAGCACAGAGAAAGAUUAUGUGCGUCAGCAACACUUUCUUGUACUAUCAGGAGUGCACUUAUCUGUUCCAACAAAAUAGAGUGAUUUAUAUUUUGAUGUCCUUGAACUUCCACAUAAACAGGUGAAGUCAGUUUAUUCCCUUGUACAUUUGUUUGCAUACUUGCGAUACAGUGUCAUUCUGGUUAUACAUUUCAUAACCUUACUGUAUGAGGACAUGAACUCUCGGCAGCGUCUUCCUCCCUAACCUUUCUCAGCUCCUUUGAGUGCUAAUGGGCCGUGACAGCUCCUGCCCAGGAGCGUGGUCUGUGGUACUGGGGUGGGGAAUGAGCAUCCAUCCUUCAUAUAGUUUUAGGGACCUGCUUGUUGAUACUGCUUCUUGGCUAGUGUCUGCUGCAGGUGUGUGUUAUGCCUUUGUAGUGAGAGCAGCUCAAAGGGGUAUGAUCUUCUCAUUCCCCAAACUUCCACAAACACAACAAAAGUGAUGUUUGCUCGGACCGGGGAAAUGCACAGGGAAAUCUGGCACACGCUCAGUUCCCAGUUCAUGCUAUCACAGAGUUGGGUAUUUUCCUAUCUAGCUCACAAUUUAUGCUCCCAGUGGGGCGUUCAGAACGCAACACACCGGGACCCGUUGGGAGAGAGCGUUCUGGGGACAGCAGCAGGUCAAGCCCAUGCAGUCUGAGCACAGAGGUGAUGCACUCAGGUACACCAAGACACUGCUGCGGGCACACACCUGCGGAGGCUGUGCAUCCUGGAGCAGGACGGGGUCUCGGGCGCGGUCCCGCUGCCCGGGAGCGCGCAUGCGAAACGGGCUGAGGAGCGCUCCCGCGUCCCUAAGCGUGCUCCCUACGGUGGCGCGCCGGUGCUGCCCCCAUCCGGCGGUGGUUGGAGCCUGUGCUGCUGUUAGACGAGGCAGCACGUAAACAAAUACGUAGCGCUCCUUGGAAACGGUGCCCUUUUACAUUUUCAUUUUUGAAGAGAUUUUGUUCCGUCCUGCUCUGAGCUGUAGGGAUAGCCGAGGUCUAGGGUCUGCCAGGGCCUUUCUCUUCAAAAAAAGAUGCUGAUGUUAGAAUUCAGGAUUUCUUUGAUGCAAUAUUUACAGUGAAAUUUCACCGAGGCCUUUUCACCCAAGCACAACAGGAUUCCAGCAGAAAUUGGGGUACAGAGACGUUGUGAUCACAGGCUGUCAUCUUACUGGGGGUCUUCAACCACAUUGAUAUCUGCUGGAAAAGUUGCACAGUGCACUGUAGGUGAUCCCGGAGACUCCUGGAAUAUAACAAGGAUAACUUCCUCAGCCAGGUAAUGGACAGCCCCAUCAGGGGGAGAAUGCAGUGCUGGACCUGUUGCUCACCAACAUGAGUGAACUGAUUGGUGAUAUCAGGAUUGGAGACUGCCUGGGCUGUAGUGACCACGCAAUUGUGAAGUUCAAAUUCUUGAGUGAUAUCAGGCAGGCAAAGAGUAAAAUCAGGAAGUACUGAUACUCUGAAUUACUCUGUCUGCAUACUACAAAGUGGAGUAAAAUGUGUUUGCUAAGUGGUAGCUUCCAUUGUUUACGCCUUUCAUUGUUUAUGCCUAUCUCUAUGGAGACCUUAAUUUGCUUUUGUCAUCCCAUGAGAAGGCCACCUCUGACCCCAUCCAGAGUAAUGCAAUGGAUCACAUCAGCCAACUUAGUGUCAUUUUUUACCAAAAAAAACCCCCACAAAACUAUCAACUAUUGUCUCCCAUUUUCUUAGAGCAGUUACACUCCUCAGGCCUACAAGUGCCAUCUAUAUAUCCUUCUCCCAAAAUAUGUAGCCUUCAAUUGGCAAUACUAACGUCCAUAUUGUUUCUGCUUAGCCAGAAAUCUGGAUCACUUCCUGCUCAUCAUCUAUCCUCAACAUUUCUCUGUUCCUUUUUGUUGUUUUCAUAAAUUAGAAAUAUUUCUAGAGUUAGUUUUUUAUUUUGUAUUUUGUUUGUUUGUAAUAUAUAUUUCUUUCUCUACAUGCCAUAGGUAAAAUCAUUGGAUACAAUCUUGGACAAGAAGAUGGAUCUGUUUAGCCUUGAGAAAAGAAGGCUGAGAGGAGUCCCGUAUCAGCUGUUCCAUUCUUCUGCACAGAACCAAGAUAGCAAUGGAGCUGUGUCAUCACUGGGAUUGCUUUUGCCCUGAAUAGUCCUUCACAAAUGGAAAAUAAAGCAAAGAAAUGUUC
Molecule: non-coding RNA, 4558 nt
Organism: Coturnix japonica (Japanese quail)
Lineage: Eukaryota; Metazoa; Chordata; Aves; Galliformes; Phasianidae
Source: RefSeq, a predicted model, not a curated record